UACGGAGGGUGCAAGCGUUAUCCGGAUUCACUGGGUUUAAAGGGAGCGUAGGUGGGUCUGUAAGUCAGUGGUGAAAUCUCCGGGCUUAACCUGGAAACUGCCAUUGAUACUAUAGGUCUUGAAUAUUGUGGAGGUUAGCGGAAUAUGUCAUGUAGCGGUGAAAUGCUUAGAUAUGACAUAGAACACCAAUUGCGAAGGCAGCUGGCUACGCAUAUAUUGACACUGAGGCUCGAAAGCGUGGGGAGCGAACAGG
RNAcentral lists this ribosomal RNA (253 nucleotides) under uncultured bacterium. RNAcentral describes it as "partial 16S ribosomal RNA". It matches the Rfam family "Bacterial small subunit ribosomal RNA", at positions 524 to 776 of the family's 1533-position model. The record is from RNAcentral.